RNAcentral lists this unclassified non-coding RNA (305 nucleotides) under plant metagenome. RNAcentral describes it as "partial contains 5.8S ribosomal RNA, internal transcribed spacer 2, and large subunit ribosomal RNA". The stretch from base 1 to 105 matches the Rfam family "5.8S ribosomal RNA", at positions 50 to 154 of the family's 154-position model. The record is from RNAcentral.
GAAAUGCGAUAAGUAGUGUGAAUUGCAGAAUUCAGUGAAUCAUCGAAUCUUUGAACGCACAUUGCGCCCUUUGGUAUUCCUUAGGGCAUGCCUGUUCGAGCGUCAUCUAAACCUUCAAGCCCUGCUUGGUGUUGGGUGCCUGUCCCGCCUCCGCGCGCGGACUCACCUCAAAUCCAUUGGCGGCCCCCGCGUCGGCCACGAGCGCAGCAGAAACGCGAACUCGUGAGCCCGUCCGGGCGGCUCCCAGAAGCUACACCUACCCAGUUUGACCUCGGAUCAGGUAGGGAUACCCGCUGAACUUAAGC